RNAcentral lists this ribosomal RNA (492 nucleotides) under uncultured bacterium. RNAcentral's name for it is "partial 16S ribosomal RNA". It matches the Rfam family "Bacterial small subunit ribosomal RNA", at positions 29 to 507 of the family's 1533-position model. The record is from RNAcentral.
AGUGAACGCUGGCGGUAGGCCUAACACAUGCAAGUCGAACGGCAGCACAGUAAGAGCUUGCUCUUACGGGUGGCGAGUGGCGGACGGGUGAGGAAUACAUCGGAAUCUACUUUUUCGUGGGGAAUAACGUAGGGAAACUUACGCUAAUACCGCAUACGACCUACGGGUGAAAGCAGGGGAUCUUCGGACCUUGCGCGAUUGAAUGAGCCGAUGUCGGAUUAGCUAGUUGGCGGGGUAAGGGCCCACCAAGGCGACGAUCCGUAGCUGAUCUGAGAGGAUGAUCAGCCACACUGGAACUGAGACACGGUCCAGACUCCUACGGGAGGCAGCAGUGGGGAAUAUUGGACAAUGGGCGCAAGCCUGAUCCAGCCAUACCGCGUGGGUGAAGAAGGCCUUCGGGUUGUAAAGCCCUUUUGUUGGGAAAGAAAAGCAGCAGGUUAAUACCCCGCUGUUCUGACGGUACCCAAAGAAUAAGCACCGGCUAACUUCGUG